GCCACCAAAAUGUACCCACUCUCCUCUCUUCUGCUUCACUCUUGCCACUGCUCUUUGGACUAAAGUCUAACUUAUGGGCUGUGUCUGGCUUGGAAUAUAGUUGUUAAAUUAACGAGUGACUAACUAAGAGGCUGUGACUGGCUAGUGGGAGCAUAAAUACAGGCUUGUUUUCCAUUAGUGGUGUCUUGGCCAAAUGAGGCUGUUGGUCCUGUUUUUCCAAUAUCAUUAAUGUGGUCUGGUGCUCUCUUUGCUUGUAGAAAUGCACAGUUUAGUGGCUCUUCCACAGCUGUUCUUGUUCCUGACAUGCUGGCUGUGAGAUGUUCUCCACACUUCUGUGUGAGGGUCCUGUGUACCGGAACAGGAGUGAAUUAUGUACAGAUGGCUUGAGUUAAAUGCUUUAAAGAUAUACAGAAAGCUGUACUGGAACCAAAUCCUUCAUCACAAUUGUUACAGCUUAAUCUAGAUGUGCCCCCAAAAGCCUCAUGUGCUCAUAGGUGAGGAGUUUAGAAGGUGGGCAGAUUAAGGUGUGUGGAUGUGUGGAUGUGGAUUAAGGGGGUGGUGCUUGGAUCAAGGGUGUGGAUAAUGGAAGCCCCAACCUGGAUAUGGGUGGGACCAAUUAAUAGGCUUGUAGCCUGGAUGGAAUAUAAAGGGAGAGAGGGAAGACAGGUUGCUGCUGCUGCUUGCUGCCUUCUGCCUGUUCAGCCACACCAUGAACUGUUUCUUCUCUGCGAUGCCCCUCUGCCAUGCUGCCCCACUUUGGAACCAGCUGACUCUAGACUGAAACCUCUACCGACUGUGAUCCAAAUAAACCUUUCCUUCUUUAAUUUUGGGUGUUGGAUAUUUUGUCUCAGCAAUGAGAAAAGUAACUAAGACAAUAAUCAUCUUCAUCUUCCUCAUCAUCUUCCUCCUUUGCCUCAGUCUUUCAGUCUUGUCAGUUCCCUUUAUUGGCUCAGUAGGUAGCAAUAUCAUUUUUGUAUUUUUCCUUCAGCUUUGCAGCUUCUGUUCAUAAAGCUGCUCAUCCUCUGCAGCAGUGUCUUCCCAUCUCCCCCAGUUUCUUUCCAUCACCACCGGUGGAUGAGCCAGGAUAUUCUUUGAUUUGGGGGUGAUACUCAGAACAGAAAGAAGGCCAAAGAAGGCCUCUUGGGUGCUUUGGGAUCCUUGAACAUUUUUGUUAUUUCACUGUUAGGGAUGAUAUAAGUUUCCAUUUCUCUUUUACAAAAAGCUUUGUCCAUCCUUUCUAUGUCUUUAAAUUUCCUUUUCUUUUCAGAAGGGAGGCUCUCCCACUUCUUUCGGUACUUCUUAGAAGACUCUGAGAAAUUGGCUAAGUUCCUGCACGCUCCCUGGCACAGAGAUGCACAUGAGGACAUUUUGCUCCCAGCUUCCUAGGCUGUCCUGUGACCAUGUUUAGUUAUUUUUCCUCCACGAGACACAGUUGCCCAGUGCCUAUGCCACUAUCUCUAAGGAGUCCAGUGUACUCCAGCUCGCCAGUUUAAUGGCUAUUACUUUCAGUGAAGCUCAGGUGUUUGUAAAAAGCAUUGCCUGCCUAUCUGAGAAAACAUUUUAGAUUUGAUAAACAAUGGUGCCAAUAGAGGAGGCGUCAAACAAGAGUAGAGGAAAGACCAGUGGUGCUAGUUAUAAUCAAAAUGUCCAUGGUCAGUGUUUAGAGGCUCUGUAGAAAGAUAACAUCCUCAGACAAGGGUCAUUGUCCCUCGGGGAUCUCAGGACUUCUAAGCUCCUAAUCAUUUACAGAAACACUUUAAGCUACACUGUAACAUACUGUCUAUCAUGCCUGUUUCCCCUGUACAUUUGCUUGUGAACAUAAUCAAAAGUCAGAUAGCUACCAAGAUAUCUUGUGAUUGCCAUUGUUACUAUAAUAGUUUUAGAAAACUUAGGAUGGAAGCUAGGAACUAGAUUUGAAACUCAGUAGCCUGCAUGUGGUUGGAUGCACUCAGCUCCUUAUAAAAUGCUCCCAAACUUGUGUGAACAGAAAUCUCACUGAGGGCAACAAGAGUUCUCUUGACUGCUGUUCUCUAAACAAUAUUGGAAAGCAGAAUAAGAGUCUAUUCAGUAAUAAGCAAAUUAAUCUUUUUUAAUGGUUUUAAACAUUGGAAAUGCCACAUGUCUAAAAUCUUACCUAAUUUUAACAUUUGGUCAAUGAAUAGUGAUUGAGAACUUCUGAAGUGACAGCACAUCCAAAAUGAGUUUUGAAAUAUCUAUUUUUAGAACGUAAAUGAAAUCACAGGUCUUGAAAUUUCCAGACUUUCACUUUCCACUCUGCCUUUGGAACUUGAUGAUUUUAAUCCCAUUUAGUCUCCCUGAACAUUUUGCAUUUAUGCGCAAGACACAGCUCAAAAGUGUGCUCAUAUAAGAAUUCACCCCCAUCCACUCACUGUUCCUGCUCUCAGUCUGGUUGGAGUCAGGCACUCCCUGCUAGCCCCUGGACAUCGUGUAAUGACUGGCCUCUAUAGCUGUCCUUUUUCCCCCCCCAUUAAGUUUAUUGGUACAUUUUAGGUAUAAAAUACAGUUACAUUCAUCAUUGGGGUCUUGUACCAUUACAUGAGUAUCUUGGUUCUUAUUUUUUUCCCCUUCCCCUGCCCUCCCUUCACCCCUUCCAUUCUUCCCUAUUUGCAAAGAAUUGUUUCCUUUUUUUUCCUUUUCUCAUAUGUUUUCUUUUCCCUUCUUUCCUUUCUUCUACCCAUCCCACUUCCCAUGCUCAUUUAGACCUUUUCUUCCUAUUACACAAUAUCAAUUAUACUUUUUUAAAAUUACAAUAUCAAGAUCUAGGAGACAUUACCACAGAUUUUACAGAAUUUAAAAGGAUAUAGAAAGCAUAUUACAAAAAUCUGUUUUGAAAUAAAUUUGACAACUUCUAAGAAGUACCUUGGAAGACAAAUUAAUGAAACUAACUCUGGAGAAAUAUAAAAUUUGAAUACCACCUAUUAAAGUAUAUUCCUAGCUUGAAAACCUACUUAUAUGACAACAACAGGCUCAUAUACAUUUUAACUGAUAAAUUAUAUCAAACAUUUAAAGCAGAGAAAAGAAGGAACACUUCUCCCCUCAUUCUAGGAAAUCAACAUUGUACUAAUCCUAAAACUGGAUAAAGAUAAUAGAAGAAAAAAGCAUGAACAUAGAUAGAGAUUUGUUUAACAACACAAACUAUUAGAAGUCAGACCUGGCAGGAUAUAGAAAGUGGUUUUGUUAUAGGGAUGGCAGUGUUGGUUCAGCACUGGAAGAUCCACCCCCAAAAGUCAUCAUUUUAACAGAGGAAAGGCAAAAGCCAUAUGAUCCUGUCACUAGUUGGAGAAAAAGUAUUGGACUAAAUUCUUCAGAUGUUCAUGGUAAAAGCUAUCAGGAGACCAGAGAUAGAACAGAACCUUCUCAACAGAUCAAAGACAUGUACUUCAUACUUCCAGCAAAAACACUUUAUAUGAAUGGAGAAGAUACGAUGUUUUCUCCCUAAGGUGGGGAACAAAGGCAGAUAUGCCUACUCUUCCUCUGUCUGUUAAACUGUGAAACAUAGGCCCAAACCAAACUAGUCUGGCAAUAAAAUGACACAAUUAGGAUGGGAUUGGCAAGGUAGAAGUAAAAUCUUUAUAUGUAGAUGAAAUGAUCAUCUCCAGAGAAAAUACUAAGAAAUCUCCAGGAGCCCCUAAAACUUGUACUUGAAUUUAGCAGGAUUAGAAAACACAAGGUAUAUAUAAAAAUUCAAGUAUAUGUAUACUUGCUAUAAAUGAAGAAUUGGAUGUUGAAAUUUAAAAGUUAUGUAGGAGUACGAAGGACCUAGAAAAGGAAAAAGAAAAAGGAAAAAAAAAAACAGCGUUGGAAGACAUUUAGUAUCUAAUUUUAAGACUUCCUCUAAAGCCACAGUAAUCAAGGCAGUGUUGGUGUAAGGAAAGACAUAUAGAUCAUUGGAAUAAAACAGAGAAUCUAAACAUAGAACCACACAUAUAUGAUCCAAUGAGUUUUGAAAGAUUAUUUAACAUUAACAUUUUAUAGAAUAUAAACUCAAUUCAAGAGCAGAGGAAAAGAUAAUGUUUUCAGCAAAUGGCACUAGAACACCUGGUAUCUGUAUAUAAAAAAUUAACCUCAACUCUUUAUUUCCAUACAUAAAAAUAACUUGAAAGGUUCUGUGUAGCUAAAUAUGAAAGACUAAAGCUAUAAAACUUUAAGAAGAAAUUAUAAGGGAAAAUGUUUGUGAAUUUAGGGUAGGCAAGAAUUUCCUAGGAUACAAAAAACAUGAUAUAUAAAAGAAAACAAUUGAUAAAUGAGAUUCCAUCAAAGUUUAGAACUUUAAAUGACAUCAUUAAAAUGAAAAAUAGUCCUUAAACAGAUCAUAUUUACAAUGCAUAUAACCUAUGACCAGGAUAUAUAAAGAACUCUUACAGCUCAUUAAUAGACAACCCAAUUAAAAAGUAGACACAAGAUGAUAUAUAGCCAGUAUAGCAUAAGGAAAGGUGUGCAACACUAGAAUCAGAAAAAUACUAAUCAGUACAAUAACAAGAUUGAAUUAUACACUCCUUGGGGAGAUGAAGUUAAAAGUUUUAAAAGCCUUGUCAUGACUUUUUCUUUUUGUUGGAUUCUCUCCCUUUGCAUUUAAUUUGUCAUGCCCAAUGGAUUCAUUCUGCUGGGUUUCCUGGGGUUGUGAUCCUCAUUGUCUUUUCCUAGGAUAUUGUCUAAAAUUUUUUGGAGCGUUGGUUUGGUAUUCAUGAAGUUCCUAAGGUACUCUUUAUCAUGAUAGUAUCUUAUUUCUCCAUCCAUUUUGAAAGAUAGUUUUGCAGGGUACAUCAAUCUGGGUUGGAGGCUGUUUUCCUUUAGGGCUUGAAAUACAUCACUCCAAACUCUUCUUGCCUAGAGGGUUUGCUUUGAUUCUGAUGGACUUUCCUUUGUAUGUGAUUUGUUUCUUUUCUCACACUGUUUGUAGAAUUUUAUUCUUCUGUUGGGUUUCUGGAAUCUUAACAAUUAUAAGCCUAUGUGUAGAUUUUUUUGAUCAAGGCUAGUUGGAGUCCUAUAUGCCUCACUUAUCUGUAUGUCAGGUUCUUUUCCCCUCCUUGGGAAGUUUUCUGCCAUCACUUCUGUGAACAGUUUUUUUAUGUCAUCUGCGCUCUCACGUCUUUCUUCAUUGACUCCAAUCAGUCUUAUGUUAUUCUUCUUUGCAUCGUCUAGCAGCUGCUGGAUUGAUUUCUUUUGGUCCCUUACAAUUUUGAAACAAUUUUUCUUUUCCUGUUCACUAAUUGCAAUCUUAUCUUCUAUAUCUGAAAUUCUGUCCUCACAUUGGUUCAUCCUUCUGCGUAGACUUUCAAUGGAGUUUUUAAUCUCCUGGAAAUGUGUUUGCAUCUGUUUUAUAGAUUCCAUUUGUUUCCUAUAUUGCGAUUCCAUUGUGUUCCUCAGAUCCUCUAUUUUUUUUAUCUGUGCCCUCUCUAGAUUUAUUAAUCAUAUCUUGCACUAUGGGUACAAUCUCUGGUGUUAUCUGAGAAAUUAUUUCGGAUUUUAUUUUUUCCAGAUCCUCUUUUGUUGCCAGUUCAGGGAGUCCGGGUGGUUGAAUAUCAGAUUGUUCCAUCUCAUUUCCCUUUAGGGUUGCUGUAGGUGAUCUGGAAGUCUGGUUUUGAGGCUUAUUUACGUGUCUUCUCAUUUCCUGGGGGUGGGAGUGGGGGCAUGCUGCUGGCGCCCAUGCGGCUCACUCCUCUGGGCUGGGAGUGGUGGAAUGGUGGCUGGGGAGCCUCCUCCUGGGUGCUGGGAUUGGCUCACCUCCUCUGCUCUGGGAGCAGUGGAAUGGCAGCUAGCUGUAGCUAUCCUUUUGGCAGAGCUGUGGCAACCUAGGUGGAAGCUGCCAGACCUUUGAUCUCAGAACCUCCAGGGUCUAGUACCAUACCUGGCAUUCAAUGUUUGUCGAGGAGAUGAAUGAAUAGCACAGCCAGGGCAAAGCGUGUGUGCAGGGACAGUCAUGUCAAAAGGAGAGGAAAGGAGGGGGAUGUCCUCUGGAAAACUCCAAAGCGAGAGGAGUCCUGUCCCUGACUUGUCUCUGUUCUAGAAAAAGAGUGACAGCUGUGCACAGUGGCAUUCUUGGCCUGUGUCCCAUGUAGAGUCCCUUUAAAAUGAGGCUUUACUGGAAUUCUGAGAUGCAUGUGUUCUACCCAGGAACCUUCCUGGCCUUUUCCAACAUAGUCUGACAGGCCGAAGACUUCGUCUUUCUUAGGACUGUAGACAUAUCUUCUGUGGGGUGUGGCACGGGCAGGGGUCAGCAGGGCUGAGCAUCUCCACCCUACCCCUCCCACCUCCCCUCUCCCCCCGCACCCUGCCUGUCCACCGUCUGGAGGAUGAUGAGUCCCUCGCCCAACCCUGCCCUUCAGCUUCUCCCUGGGCCCUUGAGUCCUGCCUCUUGAAUUUCUAAAUGCUCUUUUCUUGCCUUGUCAUUCUUCCUUGGUGUUGUGCAUCCCUAAGGGGAUGAGCGCAGGGGUCCAUUGUACCAUUUCUUACAGUAUGCUUUUUGAGCAUUGCUAAUUUUUUCCAUUUGUAAGCCUUAAGCAGUAAUGUUUAAUUGCUACAUUAAGAGGAAGGAUAAAAAUCAAAGGAAAGGGAAUUUUAAAAUACCAUUGGCAAAAGAUUUAAAACCACCAAAUUAUCAAAGCAAUAAUUAAAUACAAACCAAAUUUCAUCUCUGUUAUACGAAUGCACAGGCAAAUGACAGACUGUGUCGCUGUCGGGGCUGACCCUUGAGAUCCAGGGAUCCACAGCUGCCACAGCCCCGCAUGGGCUCCCCUGCACCCUGCUGCCUUCAGCUGUGGCCCAGAUCCCUCUGGACUGUGGUGCAAAUGGUACAAAAAGUUGGGAAGGGAUGGUAAUGGAUCAUUGCAGAUUACUGAGAGAUGUUAAAGCCUGGAGGAGUCCUAGGAACCUCUCGGACAGAGGAAAGAGAAUAUUAGUGUGCAUGACAGUCCCAACUAUGUAUCAGUAGGCAGUUAGGAGACCUGUUUUCAUCCCAAUUCAGUUGCCAAGUGGCCCUAAUAGCCUUGUCCAAGCCUCUUAACCUGUGAUCCGUUCAUUGAUGAUAAAAGUCCCUAGGAGUGCUCGAAUUCAGCCCUUCUGUGAUCCCGUUGUCAGAGCACCCAGAAUGUGCUGCAGAAGGUGGAGUUGAAUGUACUUUUCAUUUCUCCCCAGUGGCCUCCAGUGAGACGCAAAAUGCAUAUAACUAUGUGAAUGAGAGGCAGAAACAAGUGGGGAAUGAAAAGCAAAGAGAAACAAAAUAAUAAGCCUAGAGGGAGAUUUAAUAGACUGUUGCAGGAGUAGCAGGAAAGAGUAGAAAAGCCAAUAGUCAGAACAUGAAGCCGGCCAUGCUGUGUGCUACUGAGAACAUCAUGGGUGGAGUGCAGGCUCAUGACUACAAGCACGAGUCCUGCCAGCCUCAGGUCCUCUCGUGUCCAUGUGUUCAUGGUUAUGAACCAGUACAUAUUGCACUGACAUUUCACUUUCCUUUUAACCACUCGUGUGUUCAUAUUACCUUUAGUUAUUUUGUGAAUCUAAGACCUCUUUAAAGAAAUACGUUAAGACUGUUUUCAACAUGAUAGAUGACAAACAGGAAUUGAUGCGGGUAGAUAUUAUUAAAAAAUAAUAUUAAGAAUGCUGAAACUGAGUUUGGUGCCAAAAGAUAUGGUGCUGUCAGUGUUUAAAAAGGAUGACUUAUUUUCAGAUUAUUAGUGAUUAAUUUUUUACAUAUUUUUCACAAUUUUUAUUAUUAAAAUACACAACAAAAUUCACUGUUAAGCAUUGUUAAAUGUGCAGUUCAGCAGCACUAAGUAUAUUCACAUUGUCCUGCUGUCAGAGCUGUGCUCUAGCUACAGAACUCAUGAUCUUGUAAAACUGAACUUCUGUCCCCAUUAAAUAAUAUCGCCCCACUCCCUGGUUUCCCAGCCCUGGAUAAAGCACUACUGUACCUUUUGUCUCUAUGAGACUGAUUACACUUACACCUCAUACCACACAUGAGCAGGAUCAUACAGUAUCCAUCCUCUCUGGCUGACAUAUUCACUUGCCACACUACCUUCAAGCUUUAUCUGCAUUUACCUCUUGUCAGAAUUUCCUUCCUUUUUAGGGCUGAAUAUCGUUUCUGUUGCAUGUAUUUACUGUGUUUAGCAUAUCCAUUCAUUUGUUGAUGGACACUGGGUUAUUUCCAUGUUUCAGCUGUUGUGAGUGGUGCUGCUGUGAACAUGGAAGUGCAAACAGAAUCACUAUACUGUUUUUCACAGUGACUAGUAUUUUAUGUUCACACAAAUAUAAUAUGAUGGUUCCAGUUUCUUGUCAACACUUGUUAAUUUUUAUUUCUUUUUUAAUUAAAAAAUUAUAGCAGUCGUCCUUGUGGGUGUGAGGUUGUAUUUCAUUAUAGUUUUAAUUUGCAUUUCUCUAGUGAUUAGCAAUGUUAAGCAUCUUUUUCCUUUUAUUGACCAUUUCUCUUCUUUAGGGACAUGUUUAUUCAAGGUUUUUCCCCUUUUUUUAGUCUUUGUUUUGAUACCAGGGAUCGAACUCAGGACCUUGUGGUUGCGAGGCAGGCAGCAGAACCACUGAGCUGAAUCCCUGGCCCUUUUACCCAUCUUGUAAUCCACUAGUGAAGUUUUUGAUGUUAAGCUUUAGGGGUCCUCUCUAAUGUCUGAAAUUAGUUCCUUAAAUAGAAACGUGAUUCGAAAAUAUGUUCUCCUAUUCUGUGGGUUGCCUUUUUACUCUGCUGAUAGUAUUUAAAAAAAUUUUUUUUGAGACAGUCUCACUACAUUGCUAAAUCAAAUUUGAAAUAAAAAUGCAUGAGUCGUAUAGCUUUGUUCUUUUUUAGAAUUGUUUUGGCUAAUUGGGUUCCCUUGAGCUUGCAUAUCAAUUUCAGGAUGGGCUUUUCUGUUUUUGAAAAGUAUGUCAUUAUGAUUUUGUGCAUAUGAAUUUUAGGAUGGAUGUUUCUGUCUUUGCAAAAAAAUGUCACUGGGAUUUUGAUAGAAUUGCAUUAAACCUGUAGAUCACUUUGGGUAUUAUUGAUAUUUUAUUAGUAAGUCUUCAAUCCAUGAACAUGAAUAUCUUUUAAGUGAUAUAAAUCUUCAGUUUCUUUCAGAAAUAUUUUGUAGCUUUCAUUCUACAAGUUUUUUCC
Molecule: long non-coding RNA, 9115 nt
Filed under: Heterocephalus glaber (naked mole-rat)
Lineage: Eukaryota; Metazoa; Chordata; Mammalia; Rodentia; Bathyergidae
Description: lncRNA (ENSHGLG00100049394.1)
Source: RNAcentral